UAAUACGGAUGGUGCAAGCGUUAAUCGGAAUUACUGGGCGUAAAGCGCACGCAGGCGGUUUGUUAAGUCAGAUGUGAAAUCCCCGAGCUUAACUUGGGAACUGCAUUUGAAACUGGCAAGCUAGAGUCUUGUAGAGGGGGGUAGAAUUCCAGGUGUAGCGGUGAAAUGCGUAGAGAUCUGGAGGAAUACCGGUGGCGAAGGCGGCCCCCUGGACAAAGACUGACGCUCAGGUGCGAAAGCGUGGGGAGCAAACAGGAUUAGAUACCCUGGUAGUCCACGCUGUAAACGAUGUCGACUUGGAGGUUGUGCCCUUGAGGCGUGGCUUCCGGAGCUAACGCGUUAAGUCGACCGCCUGGGGAGUACGGCCGCAAGGUUAAA
Molecule: ribosomal RNA, 378 nt
Filed under: uncultured bacterium
Lineage: Bacteria
Description: bacterial SSU rRNA
Rfam family: Bacterial small subunit ribosomal RNA
Source: RNAcentral